Molecule: ribosomal RNA, 253 nt
Filed under: uncultured bacterium
Lineage: Bacteria
Description: partial 16S ribosomal RNA
Rfam family: Bacterial small subunit ribosomal RNA
Source: RNAcentral
UACGUAGGGUGCAAGCGUUGUCCGGAAUUAUUGGGCGUAAAGAGCUUGUAGGCGGUUUGUCGCGUCUGCUGUGAAAUUUCGGGGCUCAACCCCGAACUUGCAGUGGGUACGGGCAGGCUAGAGUGUGGUAGGGGAGACUGGAAUUCCUGGUGUAGCGGUGAAAUGCGCAGAUAUCAGGAGGAACACCAGUGGCGAAGGCGGUGCUCUGGGCCGGUACUGACGCUGAGACGCGAAAGCGUGGGGAGCGAACAGG